This 277-nucleotide unclassified non-coding RNA is filed under the name Paraglomus occultum. RNAcentral describes it as "partial contains 5.8S ribosomal RNA and internal transcribed spacer 2". The stretch from base 1 to 65 matches the Rfam family "5.8S ribosomal RNA", at positions 84 to 154 of the family's 154-position model. Lineage: Eukaryota; Fungi; Glomeromycota; Glomeromycetes; Paraglomerales; Paraglomeraceae. The record is from RNAcentral.
GUGAAUCAUCGAAUCUUUGAACGCAAAUUGCGCCUUUUUCGAAAGGCAUGUCUGUUUGAGGGCACCAUUUAACAAAUAAUGUGCAGCGGUUUUUGUUGCACACGUUGAUGAGCUUCCCAAGAAUUUUAAAUUUUUGGUGGCGCAUAAUGAACAGCGUGAAGCUUUUUUUUCAGUUCGAGUGUAGUGAAACUUUGCUUGGGGUGGUAAAAGCGUAAUCGCGCAAUGGGUGUGGCAAUUUUUUAUUAUCCCUGCCCCAAAUCCACUCUUUCUCCCGAAA